This 76-nucleotide transfer RNA is filed under the name Sphaerodactylus townsendi. RNAcentral describes it as "tRNA-Ala". The record is from RNAcentral. Lineage: Eukaryota; Metazoa; Chordata; Lepidosauria; Squamata; Sphaerodactylidae.
GGGGCUGUGGCUCAGUGGCAGAGCAUCAGUUUUGCAUUCAGGUGGUCUUGAGUUCGAUCCCUGGGAAAGGGCACUA